CCUACGGGAGGCAGCAGUGGGGAAUAUUGCACAAUGGGGGAAACCCUGAUGCAGCGACGCCGCGUGAGUGAAGAAGUAUUUCGGUAUGUAAAGCUCUAUCAGUAGGGAAGAUAAGGACGGUACCUGACUAAGAAGCCCCGGCUAACUACGUGCCACCAGCCGCGGUAACACGAAGGGGGCAAGCGUUAUCCGGAUUUACUGGGGGUAAAGGGGGGGUAGGGGGCAGGGCAAGUCAGAUGUGAAAACCCGGGGCUCAACCCCGGGAGUGCAUUUGAAACUGGCCAGCUGGAGUGCAGGAGAGGUAAGCGGAAUUCCUAGUGUAGCGGUGAAAUGCAUAGAUAUCACGCAGAACUCCGAUUGCGAAGGCAGCAUACCGGCGCCCAACUGACGCUGAAGCACGAAAGCGUGGGUAUCGAACAGGAUUAGAUACCCCAGUAGUC
This 440-nucleotide ribosomal RNA is filed under the name uncultured bacterium. RNAcentral's name for it is "partial 16S ribosomal RNA". It matches the Rfam family "Bacterial small subunit ribosomal RNA", at positions 338 to 795 of the family's 1533-position model. The record is from RNAcentral.